UCAGGUGGUUAUAGCACGAGGGUUCCACCUCUUCCCAUUCCGAACAGAGAAGUUAAGCCUC
This 61-nucleotide ribosomal RNA is filed under the name Bacteroides xylanisolvens. Lineage: Bacteria; Pseudomonadati; Bacteroidota; Bacteroidia; Bacteroidales; Bacteroidaceae. The record is from RNAcentral.